GAUGAACGCUGGCGGCGUGCCUAAUACAUGCGAGUCGAGCGAACGGACGAGAAGCUUGCUUCUCUGAUGUUAGCGGCGGACGGGGGAGUAACACGUGGAUAACCUACCUAUAAGACUGGGAUAACUUCGGGAAACCGGAGCUAAUACCGGAUAAUAUUUUGAACCGCAUGGUUCAAAAGUGAAAGACGGUCUUGCUGUCACUUAUAGAUUGAUCCGCGCUGCAUUAGCUAGUUGGUAAGGUAACGGCUUACCAAGGCAACGAUGCAUAGCCGACCUGAGAGGGUGAGGGGCCCGACUGGAGCGGAGGCCCGGCCAAGAUGCGAACGGGAGGCGGCAGAAGGGAAUCUUCGGCAAUGGGGGAAAGCAUGACGGAGAAAGGCCGAGAGAGUGAUGAAGGUAUGCGGAUCGUAAAACUCUGUUAUUAGGGAAGAACAUAUGUAUAAGAAACUAUGAAAAUGUUGACGGUACCUAAACAGAAACCGACGGAUAACGAC
RNAcentral lists this ribosomal RNA (494 nucleotides) under uncultured bacterium. RNAcentral describes it as "partial 16S ribosomal RNA". It matches the Rfam family "Bacterial small subunit ribosomal RNA", at positions 28 to 504 of the family's 1533-position model. The record is from RNAcentral.